ACAGUAACCGAUCAGUGAUGGUCCCAUCCAAUUAUAGCUUCAAGAGAGAUCCGGGGGAGAGUUUGCCACGAGCAGUGCUCCUGGUGGAUCCGCCACUUAACGACAUGCCCAUAGUUGCUCUGCUUUCUGAUCCGCACUUUAAGGACAUCUCCAUGGGAGCUAUGAAAGGCAGCAGCAGCAGCCCCGGCUCUCCGUCGCAAUACCGUCCCCGGAAACCAGUCCAUGCCACCAACGU
Maylandia zebra (zebra mbuna) is the source of this 235-nucleotide non-coding RNA. The record is from RefSeq and is a predicted model, not a curated record. Lineage: Eukaryota; Metazoa; Chordata; Actinopteri; Cichliformes; Cichlidae.